RNAcentral lists this ribosomal RNA (283 nucleotides) under uncultured bacterium. Its description in RNAcentral is "partial 16S ribosomal RNA". It matches the Rfam family "Bacterial small subunit ribosomal RNA", at positions 123 to 406 of the family's 1533-position model. The record is from RNAcentral.
AACCUGCCUAAGUGUGGGGGAUAGCCGGCCCAACGGCCGGGUAAUACCGCAUACGCUCACUGGGUGGCAUCACCUGGUGAAGAAACUUUCGAGGCACUUAGAGGGGCUCGCGGCCUAUCAGCUUGUUGGUGGGGUAAUGGCCUACCAAGGCGACGACGGGUAGCUGGUCUGAGAGGAUGGCCAGCCACAUUGGGACUGAGAUACGGCCCAGACUCCUACGGGAGGCAGCAGUGGGGAAUAUUGCGCAAUGGGCGAAAGCCUGACGCAGCGACGCCGCGUGGGG